CAGUAGCCGCGGUAAAACGGAGGGUGCAAGCGUUAAUCGGAAUUACUGGGCGUAAAGCGCACGCAGGCGGUCUGACAAGUCAGAUGUGAAAUCCCCGGGCUUAACCUGGGAACUGCAUUUGAAACUGUCAGGCUGGAGUCUUGUAGAGGGGGGUAGAAUUCCAGGUGUAGCGGUGAAAUGCGUAGAGAUCUGGAGGAAUACCGGUGGCGAAGGCGGCCCCCUGGACAAAGACUGACGCUCAGGUGCGAAAGCGUGGGGAGCAAACAGGAUUAGAUACCCGAGUAGUCCCUGUCUCUUAUAC
Molecule: ribosomal RNA, 301 nt
Filed under: uncultured bacterium
Lineage: Bacteria
Description: partial 16S ribosomal RNA
Rfam family: Bacterial small subunit ribosomal RNA
Source: RNAcentral